RNAcentral lists this ribosomal RNA (533 nucleotides) under uncultured Bacteroidota bacterium. RNAcentral describes it as "bacterial SSU rRNA". It matches the Rfam family "Bacterial small subunit ribosomal RNA", at positions 371 to 904 of the family's 1533-position model. The record is from RNAcentral. Lineage: Bacteria; Pseudomonadati; Bacteroidota.
AUGGACGAAACUCUGACGCAGCCACGCCGCGUGCCGGAAGACGGCCCUAUGGGUUGUAAACGGCUUUUGAAUGGGAAGAACGCCCGGGUUUCGAUCUGGGGUGACGGUCCCAUUUGAAUAAGCACCGGCUAACUCCGUGCCAGCAGCCGCUGUUUUACGGAUGGAGCCAGCGUUGUCCGGAAUCAUCGGGUGUAAAGGGCGCGUAUGCGGGAGCCUAAGUCUGCGGCGAAAUCUUGCCGCUUAACGGUGAAAUGGCCAUGGAUACUGGGUUUCUUGAGUACAGAAGAGGCAGGUGGAAUUCGUAGUGUAGCGGUGAAAUGCAUAGAUAUUACGAAGAACACCAGUGGCGAAGGCGGCCUGCUGGGCUGUAACUGACGCUGAGGCACGAAAGCGUGGGGAGCGAACAGGAUUAGAUACCCUGGUAGUCCACGCUGUAAACGAUGUAUGCUAGUUGUUGGCUCUUUGGGGCCAGUGACGCAGUUAACGCAGUAAGCAUACCACCUGGGGAGUACGUCGGCACGAAUGAAACUAAA